GACAGAGGGGGCAAGCGUUGCUCGGAAUCACUGGGCGUAAAGGGCGCGUAGGCGGGAUGGCAAGUCGGUCGUGAAAUCCUUCGGCCCAACCGAAGAACGUCGGCCGAUACUGCCGUUCUUGAGGGAUGCAGAGGAGACUGGAAUUCCCGGUGUAGCGGUGAAAUGUGUAGAGAUCGGGAGGAACACCGGUGGCGAAGGCGGGUCUCUGGGCAUUUCCUGACGCUGAGGCGCGAAAGCGUGGGGAGCGAUCCGG
RNAcentral lists this ribosomal RNA (253 nucleotides) under uncultured bacterium. RNAcentral's name for it is "partial 16S ribosomal RNA". It matches the Rfam family "Bacterial small subunit ribosomal RNA", at positions 524 to 776 of the family's 1533-position model. The record is from RNAcentral.